UCUUAAGUUUAAUAGAAAUAACUUUUAUUUUAGUAAAUUUUAUUGAAAAGAUUUUUAUUUUUAUAGUUUAUAGUACUGUGAAGGAAUAUUCUUAUUAAUGGAUAAAGUAAAAUUUGUUUUUUGUACCUUUUGUAUCAGGGUUAAUUAAUUUUAAUAACUGAAGGUUAUUUUCCCGAAAUGAGGGGAGAUAAGAGUAUAUGGAAGUUAAUGUUUCAAAAUUAUUUGUAAUAUACUUUUAGUAACGAAAUGUUAUUCGUUCCUCAUUUAUCUGGUUUUCUUAGAAUUGAAUUUAAUUCAGGUUAUAUUCAUUAAAUUAAUAAUUUUUUGUUAAUUUAAGUUUUAUUUCUAAUACUUUUGGGGAUAAGCUCAGAAGUGAUUUUAUAACUUAUAGUAAUAGGAUUUUUGUAGGCUUAGAAUCAGCCAUCAUUAAUUUCGUUAUAGAAUAUGUUCAUAAUUGUUUUAUUUUAUUGGGUUUAAAUUUAUAUAAGAAUUUCUUAUUUAAUUUUUUAUUAAGUGUAAUUAUGAUUAGAUUAGUAUAUCUUUAAGUUAAUUUAUAGUAACUCGGCAAAUAUAUUGCUCGCCUGUUUAACAAAAACAUGUCCUUUUGUUUAUAAAUAUAAGGUCUGGCCUGCCCAAUGAUUAAAAUUGAAUGGCCGCGGUAUUUUAACUGUGCUAAGGUAGCAUAAUCAUUUGUCUUUUAAUUAAAGGCUGGAAUGAAUGGUUGGACGAAGUAAUAACUUUCUUUAAAUUAAUUGAUUGAAUUUAAUUUUUUAGUCAAAAAGCUAAAAUGUGUUUGAGGGACGAGAAGACCCUAUAGAUCUUUAUAAUUUAUUAUAUUGUAUAUUUUGGUGAAUUAAUUAUUAUUAAUAUAAUUAAUUAUUUGGUUGGGGCGACUGUAGAAUUUAUUUAACUUCUAUUAUUAUCUUUCAAUAAUUUUUGUAUAAUUGAUCCAUUUAUUAUGAUUAUAGGAUUAAGUUACCUUAGGGAUAACAGCGUAAUUUCUUUGGAGAGCUCCUAUCGAUAAAGAAGUUUGCGACCUCGAUGUUGGAUUAAAAUAAGUAGUGGGUGCAGUAGCUCAUUUACUAGGUCUGUUCGACCUUUAAUUUUUUACAUGAUCUGAGUUCAGACCGGCGUGAGCCAGGUCAGUUUCUAUCUUCAAAUUAUAAUUUUAGAGUUUAGUACGAAAGGACCAACUUUAAGGAAUAACUUCUUUAAAAUUUGAUUUAUAUUACUAUUUUGGCAGAUUAGUGCGA
Molecule: ribosomal RNA, 1253 nt
Filed under: Rhynocoris marginatus
Lineage: Eukaryota; Metazoa; Arthropoda; Insecta; Hemiptera; Reduviidae
Description: 16S ribosomal RNA
Rfam family: Bacterial large subunit ribosomal RNA (bases 794-1159)
Source: RNAcentral